Molecule: unclassified non-coding RNA, 250 nt
Filed under: Hevea brasiliensis (rubber tree)
Lineage: Eukaryota; Viridiplantae; Streptophyta; Magnoliopsida; Malpighiales; Euphorbiaceae
Source: RNAcentral
AACUUCAGCGGCAGCCAUCUCCACAUCUUGCAUGGUGACCAAACCUUUCUCUAUAGCCUCCUUCUGCUCCCUGCGCCAUUUCUUUAGGAGCUUGCGUUUGCGCUUUCCAGAGACAGAGAGGGGCUGAGGCUUAUUCUUGAGCUUCCCAGUAACUGGGUCUCCACGGAUCGCUCUUUUCCUCUCUGCUACUUGCUCUCUUCUUCUUUUCUGCACCACAUUGAACUUCGCCAUCUUCUCUCCGUCGCUCUCC